UUUUAUAUCAACAUAUUCCGGGUUAGAAUCCUUCUUUUUUUUUAACUCUUGAUUGAUUAUUUAUUGCAAAUUAUGAGAAUUGUUACAAUGACGAUUCUACUACCGACAAUUCUGUCCGACCCUUUUAGAUUUACCACAAAUUACACCUUUUCCUGACGACAUCUCUUUCUCCAUGCGUAGAAUCACGGCGAACGGCUCUAAUUGUGCAUUGUUAUAGAUCUCCUGUAAGCUUAUCUCUUUGAUCUGCAAAUUAAAUAAAUCGCAUUACCUGGACGUCGAACCCCAGACCUCUUGGUGUAGAAGCUUUAAACAACCUUUCGUCAACAUAUUCCGGGUUAGAAUCCUUCCUCCAGCAUAUUAUUUUUAAGGGAAAAAAAUAAAUAUUUUUGCAAUAAAUGAGGCCAGUACAUUUUGCACAAAAACCUUGCAGAAUCAUACAUAUAAAAGUAAAGUCCCACUUUCUCCUUAUUGGUGGAAAAACAUUUAAGCCCUUCAUUUAAAAAAAAACAUAUAUAUAUAUGGGGUUAUUGUCUAAUUGGGCCUUUAUUUGUGAUAAUCAUUCAAUACAAAAUGUUUAUGAUAAUCAUUCAAUACAAAAUUAAAUUACACCAUAAGUUAUAAACAAAUGGCAAAGAAAAUGAAAGGAGUUAAUUAUAUAUAUGGGGUUAUUGUCUAAUUGGGCCUUUAUUGCCCAAAAUCUUUCAAAUUGGGCAUUUCUAUCCGUCCUUCCAGAUUAGGGCAUUUUUUAAGUUUCGAAAUGACGCUAUUGCCCUCUUUCGUCGUGCGCGUGAUUUGAAUCGGCUUGAAACUCGGUAACUGCUCCGGCGAUUUGAUGUUAUUCAACUGUUUUGGGUUUUUGUGGAUGGUAAUUGAUGAUGUGUCUCGUGGGAGCAGUAGAUGUAUGGGUUACAACGUCGAUUGUUGAGGAUAUAUUUGAGUAUUUGGUUUUCUGUGGACAGUUUGAGAAAGGGGGAAAAAAAUUUACCAAAGAAGAACCGAGUAAUUCGUUAACGAAUAACCGUCUGAUAGAGAGAAGGAGUUAUGAACGAUGAGGUUAGUAACCAUAUCCUUACUCUGUUAUUACGAAUCUUAGUAGUUCCUUGUUCUGCAUACACUUUUUCUAACUUUUCUUGAAUAACCUUGGUUUGUCUUCUUUGGUACUUUUAUCAGUGCGGUAGUAUUUGAGGUAGUUAGAACUCUUCCUUAUGUAGUUGUCAGAUGCCUAAGUUGAAUACAACGUUUCACAGUAAUAUGUUUUAUGUCGUGAUUGCUCUUUGAUGUGUGUCUAACUCUCUGGUCUUUUUUUGUUUUACAGUCGGAGGAUGUCGUAGUGAUUGUCGUUGCAGGCAGUUGGGAAUUGAAGCUGGAAUCUGGGAUUUCGUUCUUGCUAAAGAAUG
Molecule: long non-coding RNA, 1397 nt
Filed under: Capsella rubella
Lineage: Eukaryota; Viridiplantae; Streptophyta; Magnoliopsida; Brassicales; Brassicaceae
Description: long non-coding RNA (CRUB_LNC001695)
Source: RNAcentral